AGCAACUUGGAAUGAUAUCUAUAUUGUCUCAUGGCUAGAAGGUUUUCAAAAUGCCUUGAAUUAAUAUACAGCUGCAUAAUAAGAGUGCUUGACAUUGGAAUAUGUACUUGAAUACUGCUAAUUUUAUUUUCCUAAGAUCUAUUCUGACAAUACAGUUCCACUUUGGUACCAGUUACCAUAGAAAACAGUGGAAUGGUCACCUUGUGAUGUCAUUUGAUGAGGGUCAUUCAGGUAUAUAGCACAUGUAAUUUGCUAAAAUCAACUUAAAUACAUACUGUGAAUUAAGAUGUGAUAUAAAUUGCAAAGGUGAUAUUUUAACAGCUUUAAUUAUACCUCCUUUCUAACAAGCUUCCUGCAAAGUAAUAAUAAAGUACUAAAGCAACAAAGAUUGUCUUCUGAUAAAUCUAAAUAGACAAGAACUUGGCACCUGAAACAGAUGGCUUUUGCCUCCUUCCCCUAUGCCCUUGAGCAGAAGAGGUGCAUUGGUCUGCUAAUCUUUAUUCAAAAGGAAGAAUUCUUUGACAGUCAUUCAUUCAGACACAUUUUUGAAAAUGACCUGCAACUUCUGGAAUUAAAUUUAUCAAAAUAGUUGGAAAACUAUUUGACAGCAACAAGAAGAGUGCUUGGCACGUUCUGUUGUGGAUAAAUGAUGGAUAUACAAAUAAUAAGAUUUUCUUUAGGGAUCCCUGGGUGGCGCAGCGGUU
This 704-nucleotide long non-coding RNA is filed under the name Vulpes vulpes (red fox). RNAcentral describes it as "lncRNA (ENSVVUG00000026797.1)". Lineage: Eukaryota; Metazoa; Chordata; Mammalia; Carnivora; Canidae. The record is from RNAcentral.